CUAGCGAGGUGAGAGGUGCCCGUACCGCAAACCGACACAGGUAGGCGAGGAGAGAAUCCUAAGGUGAUCGAGAGAACUCUCGUUAAGGAACUCGGCAAAAUGACCCCGUAACUUCGGGAGAAGGGGUGCUCUGUUAGGGUGCAAGCCCGAGAGAGCCGCAGUGAAUAGGCCCAGGCGACUGUUUAGCAAAAACACAGGUCUCUGCGAAGCCGUAAGGCGAAGUAUAGGGGCUGACGCCUGCCCGGUGCUGGAAGGUUAAGAGGAGCGCUUAGCGUAAGCGAAGGUGCGAAUUGAAGCCCCAGUAAACGGCGGCCGUAACUAUAACGGUCCUAAGGUAGCGAAAUUCCUUGUCGGGUAAGUUCCGACCCGCACGAAAGGCGCAACGAUCUGGGCACUGUCUCAACGAGAGACUCGGUGAAAGUAUAGUACCUGUGAAGAU
This 439-nucleotide ribosomal RNA is filed under the name Klebsiella variicola. Its description in RNAcentral is "bacterial LSU rRNA". It matches the Rfam family "Bacterial large subunit ribosomal RNA", at positions 1623 to 2060 of the family's 2925-position model. Lineage: Bacteria; Pseudomonadati; Pseudomonadota; Gammaproteobacteria; Enterobacterales; Enterobacteriaceae. The record is from RNAcentral.